Molecule: ribosomal RNA, 441 nt
Filed under: uncultured bacterium
Lineage: Bacteria
Description: partial 16S ribosomal RNA
Rfam family: Bacterial small subunit ribosomal RNA
Source: RNAcentral
CCUACGGGAGGCAGCAGUGGGGAAUAUUGCACAAUGGGCGAAAGCCUGAUGCAGCAACGCCGCGUGAAGGAAGACGGUUUUCGGAUUGUAAACUUCUGUUCUUAGUGAAGAAUAAUGACGGUAACUAAGGAGCAAGCCACGGCUAACUACGUGCCUGCAGCCGCGGUAAUACGUAGGGGGCAAGCGUUAUCCGGAUUUACUGGGUGUAAAGGGAGCGUAGACGGUGCAGCAAGUCUGAUGUGAAAGGUCGGGGCCCAACCCCGGGACUGCAUUGGAAACUGUUGAACUGGAGUACAGGAGAGGUAAGCGGAAUUCCUAGUGUAGCGGUGAAAUGCGUAGAUAUUAGGAGGAACACCAGUGGCGAAGGCGGCUUACUGGACUGUAACUGACGUUGAGGCUCGAAAGCGUGGGGAGCAAACAGGAUUAGAUACCCGAGUAGUC